GGCGAUUGGUGGCCAUCUUGGUGUUUCACCUUCUGGCCUCCCUCGCUGGGCUCCUGGGAGGGAGAAAACUCUCAGCGAGGAAUACUUCCGAAGGAUUGAAGCAAUUGAAUUUACCAUAAAGCAAGAUGAUGGCGCAUUGCCACGAAACCUGCACUUGGCUGAUAUAAUUCUAACGGGCGUUUCACGAUCUGGGAAGACACCACUGUCUAUUUAUCUUGCACAGAAAGGAUAUAAAGUAGCUAAUGUGCCUAUUGUCAUGAAUGUAGACUUGCCCAAGACUCUUUUUGAAGUUAACCCAGAAAAGGUUUUUGCUUUGACCAUAAAUCCUGUUGUUCUGCAAUCCAUCAGAAGAGCAAGAGCUAAGACUCUCGGUUUUAAUGGAGAAAUAAAGACCAACUAUUGUGACAUGGAUUAUGUGAAACAAGAGUUGGAAUUCGCGGGAAAGAUUUUUGCGCAAAACCCUGUCUGGCCAGUGAUAGAAGUUACAGCUAAAGCUAUUGAAGAAACGGCAGUUAUUGUUCUGAGACUUUACCACGACAGAAAGAACAGGUGUUCAAUGCCAAGAAUUUCAAAACGCUAUUAAACUAUUGUUCUCAAGCAUUGAGGGAUCAGAUCUUGGGGUUCAAUUAAAGACUAUACUUGAAAGUCUCGAGUCAAGACAUCAUCUUUGGCUGGCAACGCCGGAGCAAUAAACUUACUAUGAUAGCAACUUAUGUUUGACAGGCAGCAACAUGCGGCACUUGACACAAGAUGUCUCCUUGACAAUGCCAAGUUCAGCUUCACUCUAAAAGUUUUUCACAUAUGAGGCCUACGAGUUGAAGUUGCUGGCUGCUGUGUGGGUGAGUUUGGGGUGUUCAGUACAAUAUAAGGGCUAGAAGCUAAGUUCCUUUGGUCGCUGCCCACACACACAAGACACUCGCAUGCGUUCGUGCCUGCUUUUGGCGCCCACAGUCCGCUUUGCCUCUUGUGCAUAGCACUGCCAAUGCUGCCUUGUUCCUCCCAAGGCUAUCCUGUCCUACUUGGCAUGGCAUUGGUGUCAUGCUCAUACAAUACGGGCAAGCUGUUGCGGUGUGGAAUGUUAUGCUUAUCUCAGAGUAAGUUGAAUAAAUAUGCACUGCACGUAUAACUGCUUUGUAAUAGAGAAGUUUAUACAACCACUACUGCCCUAUAUGCUUCAAUAAAGAGGUAUGUCUUGUUCUAUUAAUAGCUUACAGUAGAGGAUCGCAAAAUAUUACUCCUGGUUCUCAAAAACAACUUCUGUAUAAUAUACCAAACCAAAAAACAUAACCAAAAACACAUAAAAAAAAAAA
Molecule: non-coding RNA, 1310 nt
Organism: Nicotiana tabacum (common tobacco)
Lineage: Eukaryota; Viridiplantae; Streptophyta; Magnoliopsida; Solanales; Solanaceae
Source: RefSeq, a predicted model, not a curated record